UACGGAGGGGACUAGCGUUGUUCGGAAUUACUGGGCGUAAAGCGCACGUAGGCGGAUUUGUAAGUCAGGGGUGAAAUCCCGAGGCUCAACCUCGGAACUGCCUUUGAUACUGCGAAUCUCGAGUCCGGAAGAGGUGAGUGGAAUUCCUAGUGUAGAGGUGAAAUUCGUAGAUAUUCGGAAGAACACCAGUGGCGAAGGCGGCUUACUGGACCGGCAUUGACGCUGAGGCGCGAAAGCGUGGGUAGCAAACAGG
This 253-nucleotide ribosomal RNA is filed under the name uncultured bacterium. RNAcentral's name for it is "partial 16S ribosomal RNA". It matches the Rfam family "Bacterial small subunit ribosomal RNA", at positions 524 to 776 of the family's 1533-position model. The record is from RNAcentral.